UAUUAUAAGACAUUAAAAGACUAUUUGAUACAACCCUUGAUGGAGGUCUGCAAUGAAAUUAUGGAGGGGAAGAGGGCACCGGAUUCGUGGAAGGAAGCGUUCAUCACAUUAAUACCAAAGUCAGAAGCUGAAAAGACACAACUGAAGAACUACCGUCCCAUCUCUCUUUUAAAUGUGGAUUACAAAAUAUUUGCAGAUAUUUUGGCAAGUAGAUUUAAAAAGUAUUAAAUGAAGUAAUUCAUAAGGACCAGGCCGGUUUUCUCCCAGGUAGACAUCUGUUUGCUAACACAAGGAACAUUAUUGACAUCUUGGAACUUCUGCAAACAGAUAUAAAUACAAAAGCAGUUUUAAUUUUCAUAGAUGCGGAGAAGGCCUUUGACAAUAUUUCCUGGAAAUUUAUGAUGGGAAAUUUAAAAGAGAUGGGAGUGGGACGGGGUUUUGAGAAUGGGAUUGAGGCGAUAUAUUCAGAACAGAAAGCUAAACUGAUAGUUAAUAAUGUGGUCACAGAAGAGUUCAAAAUUGAAAAAGGGACACGACAAGGUUGCCCUAUCUCCCCUUUGUUAUUUAUUUCGGUUCUGGAAGUGCUACUGAACAUGAUUAGAGGGGAUCGGUUGGUGGAAGGAAUUCAGGUUGGUCAGAAACAAUAUAAACUAAAAGCUUUUGCAGAUGACCUGGUUUUGACCCUGCAGAAGCCAGAGCCCAGUACGAAAAGAGUAUUACAAUUGAUUAAUGAUUUUGGUCGGGUGGCGGGAUUUAAAUUAAAUAAACAGAAAACUAAGGUUUUGGGGAAAAAUUUGACUGAUACAGAGUCAGAACGGUUUCAGAAUGAGACGGAACUUAAUGUGGUUAAAAAGUAAAAUACCUAGGGGUAAACAUAACAGCAAAAAUCUAAGUCUAUUUAAGGAUAACUAUGAAAAAUGUUGGACAGAAAUUAAGAGAGACUUAGACAGUUGGUCAAAAUUGAAACUUUCUUUGUUAGGCCGAAUUGCUGCUAUUAAGAUGAAUGUAUUGCCAAGGAUGUUGUUUUUAUUUCAAACACUUCAGGUUUUGGACAAAACGGAGUGCUUUCAGAAGUGGCAGAGAGAUAUUUCGAAGUUUGUCUGGCAGGGCAAAAAGCCCAGAAUCAAGUUUAAGAUAUUAACUGAUGCAAAACAAAGAGGGGGCUUUGCCCUGCCGGACUUAAAGUUGUAUUAUGAAGCCGCAGCGUUCUGCUGGCUAAAAGACUGGCUACUUCUUGAAGACACUGAUGUGUUGGAUUUGGAAGGGUUUAAUAAUGUUUUUGGAUGGCAUGCAUAUUUAUGGUAUGACAAAGUUAAAGCAAAUAAGGCCUUCAAGAACCAUAUUGUCAGAAAAUCAUUGUUUAAUGUCUGGACAAAAUAUAAAGACUUGCUGGAAAAUAAAACACCAAGGUGGCUUUCACCUUUGGAAGCUAAGGCCCGAAAAAGACCCAAUAUGGAGGCUAAAUGGCCAAAAUAUUGGGAAAUACUAGAAAAGAUGGAGACAAUUGGAAAUUGCAGAGUUUGGAGAAAAUGAAAGACAAAGUGCGAGAUUGGUUACAUUACGCUCAGAUUAAAGAAGUUUUUAAAAAUGAUAAGAAACUAGGGUUCCAGGUGGAGAAAUCGAAAUUAGAAACAGAAUUGUUAGAACCAAAGACUAAGGUACUUUCAAGGAUGUAUAACUUGCUGUUGGAAUGGAAUACACAAGAUGAAAUGGUUAAAUCGGCUAUGAUAAGGUGGGCACAGGACAUUGGGUAUAAUAUUAUGUUUGAGGACUGGGAAAAGUUGUGGAGUAAUGGAUUGAAAUUUACUGCAUGUAACGCUCUGAAAGAAAAUGUAAUGAAAAUGAUUUAUAGAUGGUAUAUGACCCCAGUUAAACUUGCAAAAAUUUACCACCUGUCUGAUAAUAAGUGUUGGAAAUGUAAAGAGUGUGAGGGAACGUUCUUCCACCUCUGGUGGACCUGCCCUAAAGUGAAGGCGUUCUGGGAAAUGAUUUAUAAUGAAUUGAAAAAGGUAUUUAAAUAUACCUUUACCAAGAAACCAGAGGCUUUCCUUCUGGGUAUUGUCAGCCAAGGGGUGGCAAAGAAGGACCAGACAUUUUUUAUGUAUGCAACAACAGCAGCAAGGAUACUUCUUGCAAAACAUUGGAAAACUCAAGAUUUACCCACACUGGAAGAAUGGCAGAUGCAACUGAUAGACUACAUGGAACUGGCUGAAAUGACCGGCAGAAUCCGUGACCUGGGAGAAGAGAGAAUCGAGGAGGAUUGGAAGAAAUUUAAGAACUAUCUACAAAAAUAUUGUGAUUUGAGUGAAUGCUAAAUAAGAUGCUAGACUAAAUAACUGAGCACCACUUAACUUAGAAGUUUUUAAGAAAAUAAGUAAGACUGUGAAAGUUUAACUCUUUAUGAGAACUAUAAGAUUAUGAAACAUUGAAGAGAUAUAAGAAUUUAAAUAAGAUGAUAAAUUGCUGACAAAAUGUUAUAACGAUGAAAGUGGGAGCGGGGGAUGUGAGGAAGUCCAAAGAAAAUGUGAAACUAUGUUAAGACAAAUGUUAUAUUGUUUAUUAUGUUUAUUCUUAUUGUAAAACCCAAUAAAUUGCUUU
Molecule: non-coding RNA, 2598 nt
Organism: Podarcis lilfordi (Lilford's wall lizard)
Lineage: Eukaryota; Metazoa; Chordata; Lepidosauria; Squamata; Lacertidae
Source: the annotation of a GenBank genome assembly